AUGGCCUCUCAAGAAGAAGGUGACCUGCAAACCGACGGCUGCGCGGUGUUCGAGCCGCGGCUCGAGCGGACCACAGACUGUCUGCGCCUUCGCGUAGAAGAAGAGGGAACCCCGUGUCCGUUGGAUCAUAGCGGAUUCCCAGACCCGGAAGGAGGCCUAGGCGGAGGUCUGGAGUGCGACUGUUCGCAUGGGAACGCUCUGGCCGCUGAGGGUGCCUUGAGGGACUUGUUGGACAAACACAUCCUGGCCAGCGACGGACGGUGUGCUCGCGUCAAGGCUCAUUACAGACACCGCCACCUGCCACCGGAUCAAUUGGCCUUGGACCUGGGCGAACUCAGGUUCGCCCACGGCAUGGUGGCGUUUCCGGACGCCCUCUUAUUUGCCAGCGGUGGCAAAUGUUACCUGCUAAACGUAAAGCGAUGCGUCAUCUGUGCCGGCGCGGGGAGACGACACCGCGACAGAUGCAAAGAAGUUUGCGAGAGAUUCACGGCGUACCUGACCGACACCCAGCUGGACGACGACUACGGGCGCAAGCCUCUGCUGUACACGAAAAGGUCGAGCGAGAGGAGCGUGGUCGGCCCUCGCACUGCGGACAACCUGUUCAGGGAGCUGGGCAGCCGUGAGGGCAUGUCGUAUGAGCUGGACACCGUAGACACUCACGUGUGUGAUGCGUGCGGCGUCAGGCUUUCCCGUUUCGUAGCGGGUGACAACAUGCUGAGAGAGCAUGUGUAUCACGUGCACGUUGCCGGAGUGGAGGAGUGCGACUUCCUGGCGAAAAAGUUCUCUGGCAGAGAAAGCGUCCGGAAAGCAAUGAUAGGCAAGGAGCGUUACAGAAGGGGCUACGUGGCGUUUCCCCGAGUUGAUGCUGAAGGAGGCCGUGGAAGGCCAUGUCGGCUUUGGCUACGAUAUGCCCUGCGUCGUGUGCGGCUCGCGGCGGAGCGAGAGCCACAACCAACGCUGCGGGAUACUGAUGCUGGCGCUGCUGCGAAAGUUGCUUCGCGUCAAGUUUUGAUGAGCCGAGAAUCCCGUUGA
Molecule: long non-coding RNA, 1032 nt
Organism: Betta splendens (Siamese fighting fish)
Lineage: Eukaryota; Metazoa; Chordata; Actinopteri; Anabantiformes; Osphronemidae
Source: Ensembl